UGUCGCGCCAAAUCCUGGGCCGCGUCCAUCCCUGGCCUCUGUACUAAGCUCCCCCGGCACCUCUGGCGAGCGGCGGCGGCGUCGGCAAGCGCCGGAUAGAGCCGACAUGGCGUGGCGGGCGAUGGGGGCGGCGCCUCCAGCAUGCAUCACGCCGGCCACGGCAACAAACCCUCCAGCUAGCAAAUCCACUUCGCUUCCCUCUUUCUCCGCGAGAUCCACAACAGCCGGAUGCGCCACAGUCUGCAUUCACCUUCCCUCUGCACUUCUGCAGCCCGCGCCGCCGCCGUCAACUGAUGGUUUGUCGCCCAGAUCUGGCGGUAGCAGUGGAGCAGGUCACUCUACCUGCGAAUAUGUGGCAGUCUACUUAUUGUUGAAUGAAUUUCAAGUGUUGCACUCUACUCUGUAACCAUGUGCAUUUCUGAAUGCAGUGAAAUUGCUUCUAUAUACUUCCUCCGUUCUUUUUUAUUAUUUGUCGCUGUUUAGUUCAGAAAUGAACUAGCGAGUGACAAAUAUUCAAAGACGGAGUGAGGUAGUACAUUGUUAGUUUCUUUUUUUCACAAAGUAUGAAUCUGUAUCAAUGCUGCCAUUUGGGGAUGUACAGAUGUUCCUGGCUAAAUAGCUAGAUGGACUGCACAUCAAUGUAGCUGUUCUGUUUGGUAGAUUAUAAUGCAC
Molecule: unclassified non-coding RNA, 672 nt
Filed under: Zea mays
Lineage: Eukaryota; Viridiplantae; Streptophyta; Magnoliopsida; Poales; Poaceae
Description: misc RNA Zm00001eb274790
Source: RNAcentral